AAAAAGGAAGAGACCGACCAAGUCGCCUGGAUCAAACUGACCAGGACAACCCUUGGAAAUCAGAGUAGCUAUGUCUGUAGGCCUUCUAACUGGACAAUGAAUGAACGACGAAGUCGGGCAGAAACACCAAGAAACAAACGUCGUUAUUAAAAGAUACACCACUUGCUAAUUUAUUUAUCCAUAAUGUCUAUCAGUAUAACGCAUUUUCAAAUUCGACCGUUAAAAAUUUCCGUAUAACUAAAUGUUCACAAUUGUUAAAUUUUCUGACAAAACACACUAGUAAAAGCCAGCUAUUAAUUAAUGAGGCAACGUAGAAAAUUUCAAUGGAAUAAAGUCUAGCAGACAUCUAGAAUUAUUUUUAUGCAAGUCAUAACGUCUCUUUAGUCGUUUUAUUUUUAAUUGUUAUGGACAGGUGAAUGGUCAGGUCCCUACGUACUGAAUAAUUUUUAUACAUGAUUUAUAUAUGGCUGCUAUUGGUUUUCGUUUUUCGUCUAUUGAUUACAAUUUUUGUUAACACUCUGCACUAUUUCAUUUUUUGUGCUCUACAAAAGUUUUCGUUUCUUUUGUACGAACAAAAAAUAUUUUCUGUGUCAAUAGGGUAGUCAGCCCACAUUUUUAUUGCUCCGUAAAUUUAAAUUUUUUAUACGACUGUAUAAGACGCACGAUCUGACUACGCUGCAUGUUAAAGUAGAUCAUCGGGAUCAUUGAAAACAACAAAAA
This is a long non-coding RNA of Xenia sp. Carnegie-2017, 720 nucleotides long. RefSeq lists it as uncharacterized. NCBI's taxonomy places the organism in Eukaryota, Metazoa, Cnidaria, Anthozoa, Malacalcyonacea, Xeniidae. The record is from RefSeq and is a predicted model, not a curated record. The transcript has 2 exons.